RNAcentral lists this ribosomal RNA (450 nucleotides) under uncultured bacterium. Its description in RNAcentral is "partial 16S ribosomal RNA". It matches the Rfam family "Bacterial small subunit ribosomal RNA", at positions 354 to 796 of the family's 1533-position model. The record is from RNAcentral.
GUGGGGAAUAUUGGACAAUGGGCGAAAGCCUGAUCCAGCCAUGUCGCGUGUGUGAAGAAGGUCUUCGGAUUGUAAAGCACUUUAAGUUGGGAGGAAGGGCAGUAAGUUAAUACCUUGCUGUUUUGACGUUACCGACAGAAUAAGCACCGGCUAACUUCGUGCCAGCAGCCGCGGUAAUACGAAGGGUGCAAGCGUUAAUCGGAAUUACUGGGCGUAAAGCGCGCGUAGGUGGUUCAGCAAGUUGAAGGUGAAAUCCCCGGGCUCAACCUGGGAACUGCCUCCAAAACUACUGAGCUAGAGUACGGUAGAGGGUAGUGGAAUUUCCUGUGUAGCGGUGAAAUGCGUAGAUAUAGGAAGGAACACCAGUGGCGAAGGCGACUACCUGGACUGAUACUGACACUGAGGUGCGAAAGCGUGGGGAGCAAACAGGAUUAGAAACCCCAGUAGUCC